RNAcentral lists this long non-coding RNA (290 nucleotides) under Carica papaya (papaya). Its description in RNAcentral is "long non-coding RNA (CPAP_LNC013522)". Lineage: Eukaryota; Viridiplantae; Streptophyta; Magnoliopsida; Brassicales; Caricaceae. The record is from RNAcentral.
CCAGAGCACGUGCAUGGCAAUCAUGUUGACAUCAGCACCACACAGGAGGUCACGCGAACGAUCCAUGUGCCCCGCAAUCUGACGAUCUAGGCCUCAUCCUGCGCGCUUGAACGGGCCAUAUGCAUUCCCUCUUUAGACGAGAUCAAACGGACAAGAUUGAUAGUGAUGGAUGGUCCAUAUUCGUCCACCUAUCAGCCUAAAUGGAAAAUUAUCGAAUGGUCUUACUCGCUCCGCAUCGACACAAAUAGACGGUCUAUAUCGAAAAGGACAAGAGUAUUUAAACUCUUCUU